Molecule: ribosomal RNA, 84 nt
Filed under: uncultured Fidelibacterota bacterium HF0500_01L02
Lineage: Bacteria; Pseudomonadati; Fidelibacterota
Source: RNAcentral
CACCCGAUCCCAUCUCGAACUCGGAAGUUAAGCCCUAUUGCGCCGAUGGUACUGCGCGGGUAACUAGCGUGGGAGAGUAGGUCG